GUUGCAAAUAGGUUUUAUUGCCCAACGGCCAGAUCAAGUAGACAUUUAACAAGCUUUAAUUCUUCAUCAAGCUUCAGAUUUUUCACCCGGGAAAUCUUCCUCCUUUUCACCCUCUGUUUUCUUUUCCUUUGUUAAAAGCAGGACAUGACAGCCUGCAGGGUGAUGUCUAUUGUUACAAGUUGAAAGAUCUAGCAUGCUCUGGAGUCUGAGAGAAUGAAUGAAUUAUUAACAUCCUUCCCUACUGUUCCUGGGCUUGAUGGGAGUGAACUUUGGAUCUUUCUGGCUGAACAGAAGAAAGGCAAUAGUCCAGGAGAAGAAACAGCAGCUUUACAACAGCAACUAAACAGCUUGUCCCAGCAGCCAUGGUAAUUUGUUUGAGAGGAGGAAGAAGAGGAGGAAGACUACUGAGUUUUCAACCAGAAAGACUUGCCUACUGCUAUCUAAUUUUUUUUGUAUAACCAAGGCAGUUAACUUGUAAACUGUUACCUGCAGAUCAUUUUGUGGCCAAGAGGUGAUGACUGAGACCGCCAGCACUUUAGCUGCAGACCUGGAUCAUCCACAAGUACUUUUGGUCUGAGGCUGGAGCUGCUCUUCCUGUUCAUACACUACACCGAGUGAUACACAUUCAACUUGAAUAACAGCUGAAGCCAGGGCCCCCAUGUCUACAGCUUGUGGGGGAUAAUGCGUAUCUGCAAUCAACGCACAUGCAAGGAAGGAAAAUCAGACUGUACCCAGCAGAAAGAUUCUCCCAUAAUUACCCAACUUUUUCUGGUGAAGCGCCUGGGAUGUGUACCGUCACACAGCAUUUUGCAAGCGGUUUGAUUUGCUCACUGCGUUUCCUGUCCUCUUCUGAGGAAUCCAGGGAGCUCCCGGGCUGGAAAUGUGUGGCAACGAAGCGGACAGACCUCAUCUGGGGAGUGCUGGACUGUAUGGCAGAAGGGAUGAAGUGACCUCUCUGAUCCUUUCCAAAUCUGUAUCUUAGGACUGUGAUAAGAGACUGAAAUGUAAACCUUAUGCUAGCGUGUAAUGCACACUUUGAGCACAAAUGGAAACCGUGAGGGAGGGAAAAAAAAGUUUUAGUGUACUUUUCACACUGGAAAUGACUUAACCUCCUAUAUUUUCUUCCUCUUUUUUCUUUUUUUUUUUCCCAGCAUACUCAUCUUACUACUCCCAGCAUACUACUCCCAGUAACUCAUUAACAAAGUUUCAGUGAAUUCGAAGCAAAGGCAAAGAGGAACAGUUUGCUCUCUUGCAGCAGUUAUUGAAUGUGCCCCCCAGUUACUUUUUUUCCCACAUUUCCUUUGAACUAACAAAGAGCUGUAAAUAAACACCCUUACAAGCCAAACAACAGACACCAAAUAUUUUGAGAAUGAAACUCAUCAGAAAGGCCCAUUCCCUGGGCAAAGCGCUCAAUCAGUUUAAUUUUUUUUUUCUUACUGAAA
RNAcentral lists this long non-coding RNA (1442 nucleotides) under Gallus gallus (chicken). Its description in RNAcentral is "lncRNA (ENSGALG00010007778.1)". Lineage: Eukaryota; Metazoa; Chordata; Aves; Galliformes; Phasianidae. The record is from RNAcentral.